Gorilla gorilla gorilla (western lowland gorilla) is the source of this 4769-nucleotide long non-coding RNA. RefSeq lists it as uncharacterized. The record is from RefSeq and is a predicted model, not a curated record. The transcript is spliced from 3 exons. Lineage: Eukaryota; Metazoa; Chordata; Mammalia; Primates; Hominidae.
AAAGAUAAGCAGUUAUUGUUGUUAAUAAUUAUUUAAUUUGUCAUGAAAGGUGACUACUCUAGUUCUUCCCUUCCUUUAGAAAUUGAUCAAGAAAGGGCUCUUGUGUUUAUCACAAAGUCCUGGUGACCAGGAAUUCUGUGUUGUAUUUGUGGAUGUGACAUACUCAAGUCUAUGUGCAUUUUGAGUCCUGAACAGCACGUAAUGCAUUCUCAGCACUAAAUAAUUGAUGGUGAUAAUUAAGCAUGAAAAAGUCACAUGGGCUCUCUGUGCUUCUCCUUUGGUAUUCCUGCAGUUGGGUUCGUUCUUACUGUAUAUCAUUCAUUGAUAACUCAUAGUUAAAAGCAUCAAUAAACUAUAGAUGUUUCUGAUUUCUCUACUCUGCAAAAUAGUGUUUAUCUGAUAAAUGUCAGGAUUGAAAAUAUUAACUACAUGUUUAACUUUCAGUGUUUCAUACUUCCCUUAAGAGAUGUACCACUGAAUGCUUAGAAACCUGAUUUUAAAUAGGUAUAUUUUUUAAAGGAGACUUAAGAGCGAUAUCAAAAAAUCACAUUCAGCAUUUUAAAUGCACUAUUUCUAAGAAUGUUUUGUUGAAUUAUAUGGUAGAAGACUUUUUGUAUUAUGAAUACCCAUGGGCAAAUUGGAAGCAUAAACUUGGAUUUUCUCAUGUUUAAAUGACUUAAAGACAAGUUGUAUAUUUUUAUUCAUUGUUACGGAUUUGUUUCCUCUUCAUGAUAAAUUUAUGUGCAGGUCUGAUUGUACAGUUUAAAGUUUGGUCUACAUUUUGUUUCUUCCUGGCUGAGCACCUCUGUGUUGAGUGCUAAUAGGUUUUUUUUUUAAUCUAGGUUAACUACUGUGAGAUAGUGGGGCCCCAAUGAAACAUAUAAGCAUACCUUUUAAAAUGUUGCCAAAUAGUCUUCAGAGAACAUACUUAAUACAAAAAUGCUGUGCAGACAUCAUUCCGAUUGAUCGACUGAUGGAUGACUCCACAGUUUGGAUUAGAGAGAGUAAGAAUUAGCCAGCCAGCAUGAUUUGAAAAUGUCACAGGAGGGUGCCAGCAGGAUGAUGUCAGCCCUUGCUUUGGCCUAUGCAGCAUAGCACAGUCAUUUCAUAAAGAAUUGAUACUAUGACACAGGGUGCUGGAUGUGCAUUGGGCACAUCUGUAAUUAUAGAACUGAGUUUCUGAAUGAGUCAAAACAAGGUUUAGUUAGUUCAUAAUGUUCAAAAAUAGCUGUUUUUAAAUUAGACUCUGCUAAUUUAAAUUAUUGUUUAAAAAAUUAGCAUUUUCAGUGGCUGCUUUAUAUUCCUUUAGAGCAAUGGCCUACAUGUUUAAUAUAGUCAUUUUGAAUAGGCAUUGCUUUUUAUUCAUGUAAAGUCUGUAUUUCCCUCUAUCUUAGUAGCCUGGUAAAAACUGAACCCUGAUUUCCAGUAUUCAGUUGUUUAAAGAUUAGUAUAUUAACUCUGUAUUUUUAAGAAAUUUUCCCAGUGAAAGAAUUUUCUGAAAAGAAUGUCAUAGGAAAAUCUAGGCUAAUACUUCUCUACACAGCACUCAGUAUUUGAUAUUGCUCUACAGAGUAAUUUAAGUUAUAGAGUCCAUUGAAUCUUGUGGCUGGGUUGGAUAUUACCCAAAGCUGCAUUCAAAGGAAGAGCAGUGGUAAUAUCUAAAUAUAUAGUUUGAACUAUAUAUGUGGACAUAACUUACAAAUAUUAAAAUAAAAGUAGUCAUAUAUAUAACCAAACAUUUCCUCUGUACUGAGGUAUAUUCAGUAUUAUACUAUGUACAUUUAAAAAGUAACCCUGUAAGUUACACUAAUGCAGGAGUUUGUAUGGAAGUACGCAUGUUCGCAGGAUUUCAGAGGCACUUUCUUAAUAAUGUGUUAAUGGUGUUAAUGUCCGUUUUAUUUAUUCUUUGGAUUUUUUUGUUUUCAUUUUUGGGUUUUUGUUGUUGUUACAUAAAAUAAAACUAUAUAAGGCUAUUUGUGCCCUAUAUAAAAUAGCUAUUUUAAAGAGAAUUUUAAAGUGUCAUAUUGUCUUAUGUGCCCAUGCAUUUAUAUAGUGGUCAGAAGUGUGUCUUAUAAAUAGUAUAAUCAUGUAGUAACGUCCCCUGUACCUGAGUUUCAGUGCAUUUAAGGGGCGUAAUUGCAGGGUCUUUUAAUACACAGUUUACUAUCUAGAAGUACUUACCUUAGCAGGCAAUUGUUUUUGUUUUUUCUUUUUUUUAAAAAAAAGUAUGGUAAACCUUCAUACUUUAGUUUUACAAAGUAAUAAUAAACUGUUUUGAUAUUAACAUGUUUUAAUUUGUAUAGCACUUUAUAUUCAAGACAUUUUACACAUAUAUUUCUGAUUUGACACUUAUUUGUUAAAUGCUUUAUUUUAUCUGGCUCAUAGUAGAAGACUAUUACAGUGACCUGCAGAAAAAAAUAUUGACUCUGGGCAACUAGUGAGAUUUACAACUUUACUAUUAAAUAAGCUUUUUUAUUACAACUCUUUUGAAACCAAACAUAUUGAGAUCAUUUCCUUUUGUAGGGCUUAAAUAUGUAUUUCCCACCUUAUUUUCCUGUUCCAUCUACUCAUAUUGUUGUUAACUAAAUGUUAACCAUUUAAAUAAGUUUCCCUUCUUUCUCUCUUAAUUAGAAGAGAGGGGAACCAUGCUCAGAUCAAAUAGGAAUGUCUGUUUACACUUUUGUAAUCAGUCACUUUAUUAUGUUAAUUCUAGUUCUACCUAUGUUGUAAUUUUAAUAGAAUUCUUCAAGAGUCUCCAGGUAGGAUAUCAUUAAUACUGCUAAUUUAAUCCUCUUAAAAUAUUUGCCAGGAAAGGUUUUUCUACAGUUUUUAUCAUGUGUUCCAACCCUAAGUAUCUAAAUUUUUAUUAUGACGAAAUUUUAUUAUGACCAAUAAUGAUCUUUCCAUAUUUGUGUUAAUGAUAAAAUAUUCCUGUUUGUAGCUUAUACAUAUAUACAUAUUUUUUCUAACCUAUAAUGCUUUUAGAAGUUAUCCUAAAAUCCAACUUGAUAUUCAUAUGAUAAACAGAAUUCAGAAAUUAAGAAUUUUUAAAGGAGCUGGGUGUGGUGGCUCAUGCCUGUAAUCCCAGCACUUUGGGAGGCUGAGGUAGGUGGAUCACUUGAGGCCAGGAGUUCAAGACCAGCCUGACAACAUGGUGAAACCGCAUCUUCAGUGAAAAUACAAAAAAUUAGCCAGGUAUGGUGGUGCACACGUGUAGUCCCAGCUGCUUGGGAGGCUGAGGCAGGAGAAUUGCUUGAACCUGGGAGGUGGAGGUUGCAGUGAGCCAAGAUGGCACUCCAGCCUGGGCAGCAGAGCAAGACUCUGACUCAAAAAAAAAAAAAAAAAAAAAAAAAGAAUUUAAAAAGGAAUUUAAAAAGGAAUUUAAAAGAAUUUAAAAAGGAAUUAGAUUAUUCUAGGUGUAUCUUUUUUCCAUGUAAAAUGGAAUGAUGGUUAGCUGUUUUCAAAAAACAAGACAUUUAAAUUAUAGUACAAAACACCUUUUUAAAGUGUGUAGAGGCUAGAAGCAUGGUAUACAGUAUUUGCCAUUUUAAUUAUAAGCCACCUCUUAAAUAUAUUCAUUUCCUAGUCAUUACUGCUUAAAAAAAAAUGCUUCCCAACUAAAAUUUAUGCUACUUUAGGAUAAACAAAAUUUUUUCCAAUUAUAUAAAGAUGUCAACUUUAGUUAUUUUUUAUAUAAUUAUUUUUUAUAUUUAGUUAUUUUUUAUAAUUACUACCUUUUAAUAUAAAACAGAAAAUGACGAACUAUGUUCAGGUGGCUUAUGCUUAUAGUAAAAGUUACCUUUUCUUGUAGUUCAUUCACCUUUUUAAGAUAAAUGAAGUUGCAAGUCUAGAAAUUGUCUUCUCUCUUGUACUAACAAAAAGAUAGAAGGGUUUGUAAGGGAGAAAAAGUAGAUUUGGCAGUUGAUUAAAAAUAAAAGGAUGGUAACAUAGUACAUGAAUGAUCAAAAGGAAGUGGAACAAGGAGAUGCAUAUCUUUCCAUCUGAAAAGCACCCUUUUGCUUUAGAGAUUAUUUUUCUAUUAUAACAGACACCAUAAGAAUGGAGGUUCAAAAGUAUAAUUGUCAGCCCUCUGAUACACUUACAUUAAAUAAUUAAUGAUUCAAAAUUUCCAGCAUUUUUGUAAUGGAAUGUAACUUAUAAUGUGAUUUUGACUUUUAGCCCCUUCCAUGUAUACAUCAGUCACUGUUCUGCUGCUAUUGCUACCUUUUCUACCUCUUAAUAUGAAGAGAUUUACAGGAGGUGGAAAGAAAUACAUGCUCCCAAAUGGCUUGAGUUUAAAACGACAGUACUUUCCAACCUUUUUCACAUCAUGGUACACAGAGAAAAUUAUGAAAUUUGUCACAACACACUAGGGCAAGCAGAUGAAGCUGCUCUUGUCCAAAUGAGACUGCCAAGGAGCUCCAGCUAUUCCAGACCCUGUCCAGCCAUCCUAGACCCUGUCCAGCCAUCCUUCAGCAUGAGGGGAUUAGAACAAAUGUGGAUGAGAACAGGAUGAGAACAAAUGUGCCUAGAUAUUUGUUGGAAUAUCUAGGUUGGAAUAUCUGAGGUUGGAAUCCUCAGCCGAACUACAGAAGUCUACAGUGUGGUCUGAGCUUUAAGAGUUUAGACUGGCAUACGUGACUGGCUACUAGGGAAAUAAAUGAAUGUGGAAUUGAGGAUGGAACAAAGAAUUCAAUGCUUUACAAUAAAUGGACUGUAUUUGAGAGUUCAAGAGAGGAUUGGAGAAAAUAACUGAGUAUGUAAAAAAU